UACGUAGGGGGCUAGCGUUGUCCGGAAUCAUUGGGCGUAAAGCGCGUGUAGGCGGCUCGGUAAGUCCGCUGUGAAAGUCGGGGGCUCAACCCUCGAAAGCCGGUGGAUACUGUCGAGCUAGAGUGCGGAAGAGGCGAGUGGAAUUCCUGGUGUAGCGGUGAAAUGCGCAGAUAUCAGGAGGAACACCGAUUGCGAAGGCAGCUCGCUGGGACGUAACUGACGCUGAGACGCGAAAGCGUGGGGAGCAAACAGG
RNAcentral lists this ribosomal RNA (253 nucleotides) under uncultured bacterium. Its description in RNAcentral is "partial 16S ribosomal RNA". It matches the Rfam family "Bacterial small subunit ribosomal RNA", at positions 524 to 776 of the family's 1533-position model. The record is from RNAcentral.